UUGAGCUGUGUGCGGGGAAACUUGCAUGCACAGUUCUUAGAGGGCUGGGGACGGGUAACCGUCCCUGGCUACUCGAC
Molecule: non-coding RNA, 77 nt
Organism: Geobacteraceae bacterium GWC2_58_44
Lineage: Bacteria; Pseudomonadati; Thermodesulfobacteriota; Desulfuromonadia; Geobacterales; Geobacteraceae
Source: Rfam